GUUUCCGUGGUGUAGUGGUUAUCACAUCCACCUAUCACGCGGAAGGCACCCGGUUCCAUCCCGGGCGGAAACA
Culex pipiens (northern house mosquito) is the source of this 73-nucleotide transfer RNA. It matches the Rfam family "tRNA". From Rfam's summary of the family: Transfer RNA (tRNA) molecules are approximately 80 nucleotides in length. Their secondary structure includes four short double-helical elements and three loops (D, anti-codon, and T loops). Further hydrogen bonds mediate the characteristic L-shaped molecular structure. tRNAs have two regions of fundamental functional importance: the anti-codon, which is responsible for specific mRNA codon recognition, and the 3' end, to which the tRNAs corresponding amino acid is attached (by aminoacyl-tRNA synthetases). tRNAs cope with the degeneracy of the genetic code in two manners: having more than one tRNA (with a specific anti-codon) for a particular amino acid; and 'wobble' base-pairing, i.e. permitting non-standard base-pairing at the 3rd anti-codon position. NCBI's taxonomy places the organism in Eukaryota, Metazoa, Arthropoda, Insecta, Diptera, Culicidae. The record is from Rfam.